RNAcentral lists this ribosomal RNA (253 nucleotides) under uncultured bacterium. RNAcentral's name for it is "partial 16S ribosomal RNA". It matches the Rfam family "Bacterial small subunit ribosomal RNA", at positions 524 to 776 of the family's 1533-position model. The record is from RNAcentral.
UACGUAGGGUGCGAGCGUUGUCCGGAAUUACUGGGCGUAAAGAGCGCGCAGGCGGUCGAGUAAGUCGAAUGUGAAAGCCCCCGGCUUAACUGGGGAGGGUCAUUCGAUACUGUUCGACUUGAAGGCAGGAGAGGGCAGCAGAAUUCCCGGUGUAGUGGUGAAAUGCGUAGAUAUCGGGAGGAAUACCAGUGGCGAAGGCGGCUCGCUGGACAAGUAUUGACGCUGAGGUGCGAAAGCGUGGGGAGCAAACAGG